AAUAUUUGACAAUGGGCGCAAGCCUGAUCCAGCCAUGCCGCGUGUGUGAAGAAGGUCUUCGGAUUNUAAAGCACUUUAAUUUGGGANGAAGGGUUUACACCUAAUACGUGUGAACUUUGAUGUUACCAAAUGAAUAAGCACCGGCUUACUUCGUGCCAGCAGCCGCGGUAAUCCGAAGGGUGCAAUCGUUAAUCGGAAGUACUGGGCGUAAAGCGCGCGUAGGUGGUUCGUUAAGUUGGAAGUGAAAGCCCCGGGAUCAACCUGGGAAUUGAUUACAAAACUAGCGAGAUAGAGUACGGUAGAGGGUGGUGGAAUAUCCUGUGUAGCGGUGAAAUGCGUAGAUAUAGGAAGGAACAUCAGUGGCGAAGGCGACCACCUGGACUGAUACUGACACUGAGAUGCGAAAGCGUGGGGAGCAAACAGG
Molecule: ribosomal RNA, 424 nt
Filed under: uncultured bacterium
Lineage: Bacteria
Description: partial 16S ribosomal RNA
Rfam family: Bacterial small subunit ribosomal RNA
Source: RNAcentral